GACGAACGCUGGCGGCGUGCCUAAUACAUGCGAGUAGAACGCACAGUUUAUACCGUAGCUUGCUCCACCAUAGACUGUGAGUUGCGAACGGGUGAGUAACGCGUAGGUAACCUGCCUGGUAGCGGGGGAUAACUAUUGGAAACGAUAGCUAAUACCGCAUAAUAUUAAUUAUUGCAUGAUAAUUAAUUGAAAGGUGCAAUUGCACCACUACCAGAUGGACCUGCGUUGUAUUAGCUAGUAGGUGAGGUAACGGCUCACCUAGGCGACGAUACAUAGCCGACCGGAGAGGGUGAUCGGCCACACUGGGACUGAGACACGGCCCAGACUCCUACGGGAGGCAGCAGUAGGGAAUCUUCGGCAAUGGACGAAAGUCUGACCGAGCAACGCCGCGUGAGUGAAGAAGGUUUUCGGAUCGUAAAGCUCUGUUGUAAGAGAAGAACGGGUGUGAGAGUGGAAAGUUCACACUGUGACGGUAUCUUACCAGAAAGGGACGGCUAACUACGUG
This 505-nucleotide ribosomal RNA is filed under the name uncultured bacterium. RNAcentral describes it as "partial 16S ribosomal RNA". It matches the Rfam family "Bacterial small subunit ribosomal RNA", at positions 28 to 507 of the family's 1533-position model. The record is from RNAcentral.